RNAcentral lists this long non-coding RNA (3281 nucleotides) under Homo sapiens (human). Its description in RNAcentral is "HSALNT0014439". The record is from RNAcentral. Lineage: Eukaryota; Metazoa; Chordata; Mammalia; Primates; Hominidae.
CUCCCUCUCUCUGCAAACAGGUGGCUGUACAGGGCUUGGCAAAUAUUUCCUUAUUGCUCCCUUUACUUUCUCCGAGAGGAAGGUUGGGUGGUCCAGAGGAUUUCCCAGAUGGAGCAGCAGGCUUCCCAUGCCUGCCAUUUGCAUAAGGUAACAGAGUGAGACAAGAGCAGUUCUGGGACUGGCAGGCAGAGUUCCUUAGUGCCAUGCGCACAGUGGCAAGAUCCCUCAGGCACCUCAGGAGAGUGGGAUCAAGGCCGAGAGGGUAGGCGAAUGUCGGUACAUGAAUGGAUUUUGAAAUGGAGGCAGCACUUGUCAUGUGCCAGCUUCCUUUGGAAAAUGAUGCUACAGAGAUCCCAUCACUGGUUGGGUCUUGUCCAGCUGCUUUGUGGAGGGAAGGAUGAACAGGACAUGCUCUCCUUUGUGCCACCACCCCAGUCAGUGGCAAGGGGGGGAAAUGAGGAGACCUUCCAAUGUCUUCUCUACCAAGUGAAUCUCUGACUCUACAAGUUUCCUUCCCAAGACACUGUGGUCCAGGGCUACCUCCCUUACAGCCUACAUGACAACAUGUGCAAAUUAUUUGUCAGCAUCUAAUUGCAAGAACGGGAGCUGCCUGCCUAGAGGAAACAGGGAGCCUUUAGCCUGCUCCUCCAGGCUCAACAUUUGACAGGGGCAUGACCAUGUCCAGCAUUGCUGAGUAACUGGGAAGAGAAGCCCACUGUUGCUGCACACCCUACGCCAAGCCUUCAAACAGUCCCAGCAGUAAUCAAGGUGAUAUACUGACUUUUUUCUGACUGGCUCCUGUGUCUAUCUCUCUCAUUUUUUCUAACUUAGGCAAAGAAUGGGAAAGUCAUUUAUCAGGCCCCCCGAAAUCAUAUUGUUGAUCCUCUAAAUGACCUUAUCAAGUACGUACAAUCUUUAUUUGACAGAUGAAGACACUGAUGAACAGAAAGGUUAAAGAAUUUACUCAAGGUCAGUCAUCCAACAAAUGAGUUUAGAACCCAAACUUUUGGACCCCAAGUUAAAGCUCUUUCUCCGACUGCACUAUAAAGUAGGGGCUCAAUAAACGUGUGUUGAAAUGAAUCAAAACGGUGAGAGAAUAUUGCCAGGCAGCACAAAGCUUGGAUGAAAUUUUUCAAAAUUUUUGCUGGUGAUUUUAAGCUUCAGAUGAAGUCUUUGACAUUUACGAUUCUCUUAAUAAACACUUUAUAAAACUCCAAAUCCACGUUUCUGCCUUGAAGGAUCACCAUCAGUUGGAAUAUAUUUUUACGCUAUCCUCUGCCAUCUUUGAAGGAGGAACAGAUUAGGGAAAAAAUGCUUUAUUUACCAGUGUAAUUAGAAUGAAAAUAUAAUGUUUAACUUUCAUGGAGACAGACUGAAAUAUGAAUAGUCAUGUAGUUUUUUGAAAUUAAAUUUCUAUUCUAGGAGGCCAACACUCUACUCUCUCUGGCUUUCAAACUUCCACAUUAAGACUUGGGAAGUAAAAAUGCUUUGGGAAUGAAACUGGAUGAAUGGACAUGUUUGUGCCAGUAUUCUGGGGGGACUCUUUUUCCUCUCAAAAUCCCAGUAGAUCACUGGUCACGUUUAGAAUCUUCAAAUAUGUGCUAAAAAAAUGUUUUGGGGAGAAAACAAUCUCCCACUCUCCUUGCCGAGAUGGAAUUCCAAGAUUGUUGGGCAAGAUGAAGUAAACGAUUUUCAGGAGAAUCGCUGUUUUCCACACUGAAUUGACAUGCAUUUCUGCCUCACCUGGUUCCUACACACACCAGCCCCAACUAAUGUUAGGCUUUGAAUCACUGAAAUGCCUGCCACACCUUAACAGCAAAGAUUCAGACAAGAUAUUGAGUAAGCAAGUUUAUGAAUUUUUUUAAAGAGAAUGAUUUCUUAGUUAGACUUGUGUUCAACAAAAUAUUCUAGCAUGUGGUUUCACAAAUACAGGUGAACCAUCUGGCCAGCCUAGGUUAGCUCUCUGCUGUCAGUGCUGUAAAUCUUGCAUUCUCUUUCACUCAUGUUUCACACAUGGAAUUAACUCUUCUUUGUCCUCCUGUCCUGUUAUACAAUAGAAGCUCCAAGUCUUAUUCACAACUUUGAGUCUAGUGUGUGGCUGUAUAGAACAGAGAUUAAGAGCAUGGGUUCAAGGGUACGAUGGACCUGGAUUUGAAUUCAACCGAGCAACUUUUUGUGUGACUUAGAGGUAGUCACACCACAUUACUCAGUUUUCUCAUCUGUAAAUUGAUAAUAGUUCUUACCUCAUAGAACUAUUGUGAAAAUUAAAUUCACUCACAUAUGUAAAGCAUUUAGCUUGCCCCGGCAGUAAAUAUUCACUACUAUUAUUGCAUUAAGUGCUAAAAGAGUAUUUCAAGUAGAAUUUUUAAAAUAAGAGUGAGCCUAGGCACAGGGAAUGCAUCAAACUGGCCUCAUUAGGGAGAAUUCUCCAGCCAACUGGGAUAUUGCCUGACUGGGUUCUGGGAGGUCCUCAACUGAGACCACAAGGGGCAAAUGAGCAGAUCAUAAGCAGCCCUGGAGGCACCAGCUCUUAAGGUGUUAGCCCUCAUCUCCCCAGAGCAGUGGGAACUGAGUUACUCUGAGACUCUGUUCCCAAGAAGAAAGUGAUUCAGAGCAAAGGAGACAAGUUCCACUGUGGAGGAAGUGUGCCCAGGUCCCUCACCGGCCCCGGACAUGCCGUCUGGGAGGCUAUCAGCUCAGAGCCCACACCAGCUUCCUCUGCUAUUGUUCAGCACUCACCAUUCUUCUGAUAACCCGGCUGUGGGAACCACUGCCCAGACGCCGGGCCAACACAGAGGCACGACUACAGCUGGGAAGAGUCUCUCCUUCACAUGACGACUGAGCUCUGUAGGGGGUUGUGAUGGAGAAGACUGAGACGGGGCAAUCUAAGGCCCAAACGUGGCCCAGUGUUAAGCAUAUUGAGAAACCCAAUACCAAUCUGGUGAAUUGAAUAGUUUUGCAAAACUAAGGAAAAUUAACAGUCUCCACAAAAAAGUGUUUAUCCAAGUGUUAAAGUACUUAAUUGUUCUCAAAAAACCAAAUUGUCCCCAUUCUGAACAUUUUUUUGAACUUUCUCAAUUGCAGUUAGUCUUCUGGGACAUUGAAGAAGGCCUAGAACUCAAUCAAGGAACAAAAAUAUCUAAGCAUUGUAUUUAAAAAACAUGUGUUAGAGGUUUAUUACCUUAGGAGAUUUUUAAAUAUCAUUUAUCUGUUAAAUUUAGUUGUUGCAUCAGACAUUUUGCUCAUUUUUCCCUUUAAUAAUUAUAUCUUUAUACCACUAU